Molecule: ribosomal RNA, 258 nt
Filed under: uncultured bacterium
Lineage: Bacteria
Description: partial 16S ribosomal RNA
Rfam family: Bacterial small subunit ribosomal RNA
Source: RNAcentral
CAGGUACAGCGGGAAGCCAGGCGGCGACGCCGAGCGGAACCCGAAAACCUGUCUCAGUUCGGAUCGGAGUCUGCAACCCGACUCCGUGAAGCUGGAUUCGCUAGUAAUCGCGCAUCAGCCAUGGCGCGGUGAAUACGUUCCCGGGCCUUGUACACACCGCCCGUCAAGCCAUGGAAGCCGGGGGUGCCUGAAGUGUGCAGCCGCAAGGAGCGCCCUAAGGUAAAACCGGUGACUGGGGCUAAGUCGUAACAAGGUAAC